This 253-nucleotide ribosomal RNA is filed under the name uncultured bacterium. RNAcentral's name for it is "partial 16S ribosomal RNA". It matches the Rfam family "Bacterial small subunit ribosomal RNA", at positions 524 to 776 of the family's 1533-position model. The record is from RNAcentral.
UACGAGGGGGGCAAGCGUUGUUCGGAAUUAUUGGGCGUAAAGGGCGCGUAGGCGGCGUCGCAAGUCCGUGGUGAAAUCUCUAGGCUCAACUUAGAGACUGCCGCGGAAACUGCGGUGCUUGAGUGUGGGAGAGGUGCGUGGAAUUCCCGGUGUAGCGGUGAAAUGCGUAGAUAUCUGGAGGAACACCGGUGGCGAAGGCGGCGUUCUGGACUGCAACUGACACUGAGGAACGAAAGCCAGGGGAGCAAACGGG